Molecule: ribosomal RNA, 274 nt
Filed under: uncultured bacterium
Lineage: Bacteria
Description: partial 16S ribosomal RNA
Rfam family: Bacterial small subunit ribosomal RNA
Source: RNAcentral
AUACGGAGGGUCCAAGCGUUAUCCGGAUUCAUUGGGUUUAAAGGGUCCACAGGCGGGAAAAUAAGUCAGUGGUGAAAGCCUACAGCUCAACUGUAGAACUGCCAUUGAAACUGUUUUUCUAGAGUAUAGAUGAAGUGGGCGGAAUAUAUCAUGUAGCGGUGAAAUGCAUAGAUAUGAUAUAGAACACCGAUUGCGAAGGCAGCUCACUAAACUAUUACUGACGCUCAGGGACGAAAGCGUGGGGAGCGAACAGGAUUAGAAACCCUUGUAGUCC